UGAGACAUCCAAAAGUAUUAUUUAGUCACAGUUGUCAUUCAUAACACCUGCCAGGUGGUUCCGACAUAAAGUAAGAAAGGCUUUCACAAACGAAACAACCGAGAGCAUCGACCAAAACCGACUAAUCAAAGAAAUUCAAAAUACUAGAUUCUUAUACGCACAUACCGUAAUUACCUACAAAUACGGUACGGCUAGUCCAUGACGCCGCGGCCACCUCACACGGCCGCAGCCUUAACGAGAUGCUUCUCGCGGGCCCCGAUCUGCUGCAGUCGCUGCCCGGCGUCAUCAUGCGUUUCCGUCAACACGGCGUGGCAGUAUCGGCAGAUGUAAAGGAAAUGUUCAUGCAGAUAAAGAUAAGAGACUAACUUUCGCAUUUCACACAGGUGCAGGCGCUAAUUAAUCACUGUUUGUUUGCAGGGUCAAUACUGAGGCGUGGAAUGAGGAAGAAUCGCAGUAACUCAAGCUGAGCGGUCGCUAGGGUCGCUAGGCGCAGGCGCUAAACCGAGCUGAGUACGACGCGUGGGUGGCGCCUACCGGCUGCAACUCAACUAAACAGAACCCGUCGCAUGGGUCAAUACUGAGGCGUGGAAUGAGGAAGAAUCGCAGUAACUCAAGCUGAGCGGUCGCUAGGGUCGCUAGGGUCAAUACUAAGGCGUGGAAUGAGGAAGAAUCGCAGUAACUCAAGCUGAGCGGUCGCUAGGGUCGCUAGGCGCAGGCGCUAAACCGAGCUGAGUACGACGCGUGGGUGGCGCCUACCGGCUGCAACUCAACUAAACAGAACCCGUCGCAUGGGUCAAUACUGAGGCGUGGAAUGAGGAAGAAUCGCAGUAACUCAAGCUGAGCGGUCGCUAGGCGCAGGCGCUAAACCGAGCUGAGUACGACGCGUGGGUGGCGCCUACCGGCUGCAACUCAACUAAACAGAACCCGUCGCAUGGGUCAAUACUGAGGCGUGGAAUGAGGAAGAAUCGCAGUAACUCAGCCGAGCGGUCGCUAGGGUCGCUAGAUGCAGUAGAACGAAGAAGAAGCUGGCAACUUGAAUGCAAGUGUGCAUUAGAUGGCGCCACCAUAGCUUUGCCCGGACAAGAGUUUUGCUCUAUGAGAUUUGACUUCUAAUAUUAAAAUACUUGGACCGAUUCAGGGAGAAGAACGCGCUUUAUCAGCACACUCACGCUCCUUUGAAAGCAAAAGCAUAAUAUUAUUGUUAAUGUAUUUUUUUCUAGUAUGUAACUUGUAACGUAAUGUAACGUGUGUUGUCAUGUAACUACUGAAUUUUUGAUUGACAAAUAAGUUAUCAGUUAGUUAGUUGUAUUAGGUAAUUAAUUUAAUUGAAAUUGUGCACACAUGCUCCCGCAAUUUGGCAAUAUCAACAACGUUUAUUAAAGUUUUUCGAAUGCAUAUCGCAAAUGUCAGAAUAUUCUGUUCAUAAAAGUUAUGGAUUGUCAUGCCUUUUUCCAAUGACCCUUAUUUAGGGUAAAGUAACACCAAACAAAGUAUUUGUGAGACAGUUUAACCUUUUGGCCGCCAGAGACUUAAACGGAAAAUCGUGACCACGACGCCACUUUUAUGUUAGCAUAAUUUCUUUACCCAUCCUUAAUUUACCCCCGUGGCGUCAGUGGCACGGUUUUCCGUUGACGUCAUUUGCUGUAUUUGGCGUUCAAAAGGUUAAAAACAUAAAAUUUACCAUAAAUUAAGACCCAUAAAAUUGUAAACAUCUGCGGCGAUUUAUGAUGAUUGUGUUAACUAAACGUAACAUAAGCAUUUGUAAAUGUAAUCAAUUUUAGCAUAUUACUUACCAAAACUCACCUGUGCUAUUCCAUUUCCCUGUUAUCCCCAAUCGUGCUGGUAGCAGCGAAGUGCAAUGCUUUCUACCUUUCCCCAAAAUCUCAGUCCUGCGAGUGCGAGGUGCAAAAUGUAAGUAUUUAUCAAAAAGGGACGGCUGUUUCGCAGGCUAGAUAAUGUUUCCUCCUCUCUUGUACUAGGCCGACUAGUACUCCGAUGCGCCUAUCUCCUCCUUCCUUAUAUCCGUAGCUAGUUAUCAGAAAAAUAAAAAAUAAAUCAUCCGUUUGUUUUUCUUAUGCAACAGGCGUUUAAAGGAGGUCAAAAAAGACAAGUGGCGUGGGUAACAAUUUGAGGCGAAGUAUUUUUUGACUCAGUUAAACACC
Leguminivora glycinivorella is the source of this 2162-nucleotide long non-coding RNA. RefSeq lists it as uncharacterized. NCBI's taxonomy places the organism in Eukaryota, Metazoa, Arthropoda, Insecta, Lepidoptera, Tortricidae. The transcript is spliced from 9 exons. The record is from RefSeq and is a predicted model, not a curated record.